This 385-nucleotide ribosomal RNA is filed under the name uncultured bacterium. RNAcentral's name for it is "bacterial SSU rRNA". It matches the Rfam family "Bacterial small subunit ribosomal RNA", at positions 355 to 737 of the family's 1533-position model. The record is from RNAcentral.
UAAGGAAUAUUGGUCAAUGGACGCAAGUCUGAACCAGCCAUGCCGCGUGGAGGAUGAAGGUCCUCUGGAUUGUAAACUUCUUUUAUAUGGGACGAAAAAAGGCUUUUCUAAGUCGUCUGACGGUACCAUAUGAAUAAGCACCGGCUAACUCCGUGCCAGCAGCCGCGGUAAUACGGAGGGUGCAAGCGUUAUCCGGAUUCACUGGGUUUAAAGGGUGCGUAGGUGGGUUGGUAAGUCAGUGGUGAAAUCCCCGAGCUUAACUUGGGAACUGCCAUUGAUACUAUCAGUCUUGAAUACCGUGGAGGUUAGCGGAAUAUGUCAUGUAGCGGUGAAAUGCUUAGAUAUGACAUAGAACACCAAUUGCGAAGGCAGCUGGCUACACGAA